AUACUUACCUGGCAGGGGCGCUAAUGGCGAUCACCAAGGUGGUUUUCCCAGGUCAGUCCUUUACACUCCACAUGUGCUGAGUCCUGCGAUUCCCCAGACGUGGAAAGUUCGCCUGCAUAAUUUGUGGUAGUAAGUAGUGUUCAUGUUUU
This is a small nuclear RNA of Capra hircus (goat), 149 nucleotides long. Its record names the gene U1. It matches the Rfam family "U1 spliceosomal RNA". From Rfam's summary of the family: U1 is a small nuclear RNA (snRNA) component of the spliceosome (involved in pre-mRNA splicing). Its 5' end forms complementary base pairs with the 5' splice junction, thus defining the 5' donor site of an intron. The record is from Ensembl. Lineage: Eukaryota; Metazoa; Chordata; Mammalia; Artiodactyla; Bovidae.